RNAcentral lists this ribosomal RNA (516 nucleotides) under Thorius insperatus (surprise thorius). Its description in RNAcentral is "partial large subunit ribosomal RNA". It matches the Rfam family "Bacterial large subunit ribosomal RNA", at positions 1817 to 2597 of the family's 2925-position model. The record is from RNAcentral. Lineage: Eukaryota; Metazoa; Chordata; Amphibia; Caudata; Plethodontidae.
CGCCUUUUGAUUUAUUAAUAUAAAAGGUCCUGCCUGCCCAGUGACAUCAUUCAACGGCCGCGGUAUUAUGACCGUGCAAAGGUAGCGUAAUCACUUGUCCUCUAAAUAAAGACCAGUAUGAACGGCAAGACGAGAGCCUAACUGUCUCUCCACACUAGUUAAUGAAAUUGAUUUUUCCGUGCAGAAGCGGAAAUACUAUUAUAAGACGAGAAGACCCUGUGGAGCUUUAAGCCAAAACUAAUUAUUUAAUAUGAUAUAGCUAAAACUUUAGGUUGGGGCGACCGUGAGGCAAAAUAAAACCCUCAAGAUAAAACACUAGAAGGACACUUCAAACAAACAAAAAAUUGACAAAUUGACCCAAUAAUUGAUCAACGAACCAAGUUACCCCAGGGAUAACAGCGCAAUCCGCUCAUAGAGUCCUUAUCGACGAGUGGGUUUACGACCUCGAUGUUGGAUCAGGACCCCCAAAUAAUGUAACAAUUAUUAAAGGUUCGUUUGUUCAACGAUUAAAGUCCU